CUAUAUGCUCAAAUGUUUUGCGUAUAAGAUUCCGCCUCACUAUAGCUUGACCCCUCAGAGACUGAACUCAAUGCAAUUGCAGCGAGUGAGAUAGAAUCCACAAAAUUCUAUAAAACGCCGACCCCUAACUAUGUUAGGGUGAUGAUAUAGUCCAAUUCUUACAGCAAUGUAAGU
This 174-nucleotide non-coding RNA is filed under the name Parcubacteria group bacterium GW2011_GWC2_48_17. The record is from RNAcentral.